AGAGUUUGAUCAUGGCUCAGGAUGAACGCUGGCGGUAUGCUUAACACAUGCAAGUCGAACGGACUCUUCGGAGUUAGUGGCGGACGGGUGAGUAACGCGUGAGAAUCUGCCUCUAGGUCGGGGACAACAGUUGGAAACGACUGCUAAUACCCGAUGUGCAGCAAUGUGAAAGAUUUAUUGCCUAGAGAUGAGCUCGCGUCUGAUUAGCUAGUAGGUGUGGUAAUGGCGCACCUAGGCGACGAUCAGUAACUGGUCUGAGAGGAUGACCAGUCACACUGGGACUGAGACACGGCCCAGACUCCUACGGGAGGCAGCAGUGGGGAAUUUUCCGCAAUGGGCGAAAGCCUGACGGAGCAAUACCGCGUGAGGGACGACGGCUUUUGGGUUGUAAACCUCUUUUCCCUGGGAAGAAGAUCUGACGGUACCAGGGAAUCAG
This 436-nucleotide ribosomal RNA is filed under the name uncultured cyanobacterium. Its description in RNAcentral is "bacterial SSU rRNA". It matches the Rfam family "Bacterial small subunit ribosomal RNA", at positions 8 to 489 of the family's 1533-position model. Lineage: Bacteria; Bacillati; Cyanobacteriota. The record is from RNAcentral.